UACGUAGGGUGCAAGCGUUGUCCGGAAUUAUUGGGCGUAAAGAGCUUGUAGGCGGUCUGUCGCGUCUGCUGUGAAAACCUGGGGCUUAACCCCGGGCCUGCAGUGGGUACGGGCAGACUAGAGUGUGGUAGGGGAGACUGGAAUUCCUGGUGUAGCGGUGAAAUGCGCAGAUAUCAGGAGGAACACCGGUGGCGAAGGCGGGUCUCUGGGCCAUAACUGACGCUGAGGAGCGAAAGCGUGGGGAGCGAACAGG
This 253-nucleotide ribosomal RNA is filed under the name uncultured bacterium. RNAcentral describes it as "partial 16S ribosomal RNA". It matches the Rfam family "Bacterial small subunit ribosomal RNA", at positions 524 to 776 of the family's 1533-position model. The record is from RNAcentral.